GACGAACGCUGGCGGCGUGCCUAACACAUGCAAGUCGAGCGAAUGAAGUUCCUUCGGGACUGGAUUUAGCGGCGGACGGGUGAGUAACACGUGGGCAACCUGCCUCAUAGAGGGGAAUAGCCUUCCGAAAGGGAGAUUAAUACCGCAUAAGAUUGUAGUAUCGCAUGAUACAGCAAUUAAAGGAGCAAUCCGCUAUGAGAUGGGCCCGCGGCGCAUUAGCUAGUUGGUGAGGUAACGGCCCACCAAGGCGACGAUGCGUAGCCGACCUGAGAGGGUGAUCGGCCACAUUGGGACUGAGACACGGCCCAGACUCCUACGGGAGGCAGCAGUGGGGAAUAUUGCACAAUGGGGGAAACCCUGAUGCAGCAACGCCGCGUGAGUGAUGACGGCCUUCGGGUUGUAAAGCUCUGUCUUCAGGGACGAUAAUGACGGUACCUGAGGAGGAAGCCACGGCUAACUACGUG
RNAcentral lists this ribosomal RNA (464 nucleotides) under uncultured bacterium. RNAcentral describes it as "partial 16S ribosomal RNA". It matches the Rfam family "Bacterial small subunit ribosomal RNA", at positions 28 to 507 of the family's 1533-position model. The record is from RNAcentral.